RNAcentral lists this ribosomal RNA (394 nucleotides) under uncultured bacterium. Its description in RNAcentral is "partial 16S ribosomal RNA". It matches the Rfam family "Bacterial small subunit ribosomal RNA", at positions 523 to 918 of the family's 1533-position model. The record is from RNAcentral.
AUACGGAGGAUGCAAGCGUUAUCCGGAUUUAUUGGGUUUAAAGGGUGCGUAGGCGGAUGAUUAAGCGUGAGGUGAAAUGCCACUGCUCAACAGUGGAACUGCCUCGCGAACUGGUUGUCUUGAAUGCUCCUGCCGUGGGAGGAAUGUGUGGUGUAGCGGUGAAAUGCAUAGAGAUCACACAGAACACCGAUUGCGAAGGCAUCUCACGAAGGGGUGAUUGACGCUGAGGCACGAAAGCGUGGGGAUCAAACAGGAUUAGAUACCCUGGUAGUCCACGCAGUAAACGAUGAUAACUAACCGCUGGGUCGUAGUGAUUCAGUGGCCAAGCGAAAGCGAUAAGUUAUCCACCUGGGGAGUGCGACCGCAAGGUUGAAACUCAAAUGAAUUGACGGGG